AUGGCAUACUAUUUUUUCCCACA
RNAcentral lists this non-coding RNA (23 nucleotides) under Arabidopsis thaliana (thale cress). Lineage: Eukaryota; Viridiplantae; Streptophyta; Magnoliopsida; Brassicales; Brassicaceae. The record is from RNAcentral.